Long non-coding RNA from Herpailurus yagouaroundi (jaguarundi), 2894 nucleotides. RefSeq lists it as uncharacterized. The record is from RefSeq and is a predicted model, not a curated record. The transcript is spliced from 3 exons. Lineage: Eukaryota; Metazoa; Chordata; Mammalia; Carnivora; Felidae.
CUUAUCACUGUCGCCCUAUAAACUGGACAAGAUGUUCACCUGUAUGCAGGGAGGACUACAUUGCCUUAUCAGGAGAACCCAGCAGGACCUGAUGUUAUACACAUGCACUCCGAUAUCUUCCUAGUGGGAAUGUAACUGGACACGACCACUUUAGAGAAGAAUUCGGGAAAGUGGACUACUGAAGCUGAACAUGCAUGCACCUUGACUAGCGUUCCAUUCCUAGGGAGGAAACUGAACAUACACGUGAGCAGCACCGUCAUUAGAUGCACCACAGUUGAGCCCCGCAGAGAAUGUAUGGAGAAAAGGCUUCUGAUUGAGUCCAGGCAGACAGGAUGUUCUUGACGCACGGCCGGCCAGCGAUGACCCCAGACCUGUAUCUGAUGAAGCCAUAGAUGGGGGAGUGCUGGAGGUUGUUUUUCAAACUUAGGUAAUAUUUAUACCUCCCCAUUUUGUUUUUGGGGUUUUAUUUAUUUUUUAUUUUUUUCAGGCUAGGGCCCCAAGCCAAUUGUACGAUCUUUCCAUGCCAGGGUGAGUCUAUGUGUCUUGCUUCCCUUUGCCAUUUUGUAUAGAGUCUUGAGGAGAAGAGCAUGUGUGGUCUAAAAGAAAAUGAGUAGAAUCUGCAGAGAGCUUGAGUGAGGCCCAUGGGCUCCACAGCAGGAGGCCAGAAUGGGGCAGGUUCUCUUGUGCCAUGGGCACGAUUUGUGGUCCAGCCAUGUCAAAGCCAUUUCAUGAAGGAAAAGCAAGCUGAGUAGAAGGCAGAAGUCUUUUCUCUUGGCCAUUGCCCUGUGCACAAAACUGGCCCCACUGGCAAAGCAAGACGAAGCUACCCAGGUGCAAGGCUUAGAUGGGGGGACCAGAAGGCCAUUUGGAUGAUGUUUCAUGACCCCAAGGCACAGCAAAUGAAAUUAUACUAAGAGUCUCAAAAAAGCAAAGAAAGAAAUAAAAGGAGAUACCCAUCAUACAAUUCCGAUUGUAGGUCUCAUUCCCAGACCUCUUUUCUGUUAUCACGAUAAAUUAAUAUUUUGGUAAAUUCUGUAAAGUUUUUGUGAAUAGUGUAAUGAUUCCAUCAUUGUCACAGCAAAACAUUUAUUUAUUGAAUGGCAUGUGUAAAAUAGACUUCAGUUUUUACAACCUUGUUUAAUAUUUACUCACUUUUAAAUACACCUCAAAAAUACAUAGUUUAUGUGUGUUAAAUAUACCUAAGUUGUAUUGCAAUACGUUUGUAAUUCAAAAACAUGUUUUGGCAAAAUGGUGCCCUGGUUUCUUAGCUGUAAGGAUCACCAAAUGUGCAGAAGCCGAGAUGAAAGGUAAGUUGAUAUCUUUGGUUUUUACUUUUAGCUCUGAAUUUUCUUUCAAAGGGGUUUGAAACGUAAAAUUGCAAAACUCACAAAAAGGAGGGCAGCAGAGCGAUUCCUUGGUCUUCUGAACAUCAUCACAUUUACUUCUUUUGUUUUCCAACAAAGAAAGGAGCUACGCCAUACACCCCAUAAGUAUAUGGCCUGGGCCUCGCUGACAGAGAACACAGACCUAAAGGGAAAUCGUCCAUCACAAGUAAGAAAACACCAAGGACUCAAACAGUGACAUUGGGAAAAACAGAGAGAGAGAGAGAAAAGAAAAAACAAAACAAAACAAAACAAAAAACGAGAUAGGAGAAAUCUCAGAUUUUUUUUUCACGAGUAUUUGGGGCUUUGAACUUCAUGUUUGGAGAAUAACUGGUGACAAAUUCCUUUCUUGUUGAUGCAAGUUGGUAACUGGAAAUUCUACUCCGAUGAAACCACAGAUACAUUCUCAGACAACACACUAACCAGAGAUUCCCCACCUCCCGAAGGCGCAUGCAGACAUGCAGACUAGCUGGUGAAUUCCAAGAGAUCAGGCCCUGUCUGAGGGUCCUUGACAUCCUUGGGGAAUGCUGGGUUGUGACAAAGACAAGCCAACUUCCACCAAAACCCUGCAUUGUGUCGUGACCCACCCCCUGGGGGGGCAAACUUUCUGCCACUUCCUCAGUGAAGCCACUCUCAGCCUGCCUGGCCUGCUCUCCUAGGCCCUCAAGUUGUGGCCAUGUUAACGCUCAGAGCGCUAUGCUAAUCAGGGGUGACUGGCAUUUUGUGCAAUUUUUUUUUUUUGGAUGGGGGUGCCCAAGACUAAAUCAGACUAAUGAUGAAACAAACACCAUUUUUCUAGCUCUGUUCUCACCUCAUAUUCCCAACAGUGACUUCUAGAAGUUUCCCUGAUAGCGUCUCACAUGAGUUCCACAGACCAGCUCUGCCCGAUGCAGGUCGGCGUGCCCCCGCUCCCUGUCCCUGGGAUGUACCAAGCUGCCGAUGCACAGACGACGAAGCCAACGGUGAGGGCACACACCGCUGAAUCCUCAACAGCACGGCCGCUGAUUUCCUCCAAGGAGCUGUUCUCGGUGGCCCCUGUCACAUAACCUCUCCCAAAUCUGUGUGUUUAUGGUUUCAAAGCCACUGUCCCUAUUUCCUUUUAUCACUGACCAUGCUGGUAUUGUUGGCGUUGCUGAGAUCUUGCAAUAUUAAGAUCGUGCUGAGAUUCUGAUCAAACAGCUGCCCAGUUCUGGGCUCCCUCUUCCUUGCAUACCCCUCCACGUGGACAUCAAGUGACAGAACUGUGCUGUAAUCACCCCAACUCUCUAGCUCAUGCUCCAAAUCUGUAUGCCUGAAAACUCAUCCCAGAAGGCUCCUUGGGGUGUAUUGCAAAUUACUCCAGCUUCUUCGAAGACAUCAGCACACACACCCUCACCCCCCCGACCCCCGCCACACCCACCUGCACCCUGCUAUGGACAUUCCCACAGGAUCCACGCUAUGGGGGUGCCCCACACAUCAUGUAGGUAUCUAAGAAAGGUUUGUGAAAGGAACAAUCAGUCACUUUCACUGAAA